AGUGGCGGACGGGUGAGUUACGCGUGGGCAACCUGCCUCGUACAGGGGGACAACAGUUGGAAACGACUGCUAAUACCGCAUAAGCGCACAGUACCGCAUGGUACAGUGUGAAAAACUCCGGUGGUAUGAGAUGGACCCGCGUCUGAUUAGCUAGUUGGUGAGGUAACGGCUCACCAAGGCAACGAUCAGUAGCCGGCCUGAGAGGGUGAACGGCCACAUUGGGACUGAGACACGGCCCAAACUCCUACGGGAGGCAGCAGUGGGGAAUAUUGCACAAUGGGGGAAACCCUGAUGCAGCGACGCCGCGUGAGUGAAGAAGUAUUUCGGUAUGUAAAGCUCUAUCAGCAGGGAAGAAGAAUGACGGUACCUGACUAAGAAGCCCCGGCUAACUACGUGCCAGCAGCCGCGGUAAUACGUAGGGGGCAAGCGUUAUCCGGAUUUACUGGGUGUAAAGGGAGCGUAGACGGUAAUGCAAGUCUGAAGUGAAAGGCUGGGGCUCAACCCCAGGACUGCUUUGGAAACUGUAUAACUAGAGUACAGGAGAGGUAAGUGGAAUUCCUAGUGUAGCGGUGAAAUGCGUAGAUAUUAGGAGGAACACCAGUGGCGAAGGCGGCUUGCUGGACGACAACUGACGCUGAGGCGCGAAAGCGUGGGGAGCAAACAGGAUUAGAUACCCUGGUAGUCCACGCUGUAAACGAUGAAUACUAGGUGUGGGAGGACUGACCCCUUCCGUGCCGCAGUUAACACAAUAAGUAUUCCACCUGGGGAGUACGACCGCAAGGUUGAAACUCAAAGGAAUUGACGGGGGCCCGCACAAGCAGUGGAGUAUGUGGUUUAAUUCGACGCAACGCGAAGAACCUUACCAGGACUUGACAUCCAACUAACGAAGUAGAGAUACAUUAGGUGCCCUUCGGGGAAAGUUGAGACAGGUGGUGCAUGGUUGUCGUCAGCUCGUGUCGUGAGAUGUUGGGUUAAGUCCCGCAACGAGCGCAACCCCUAUUGUUAGUUGCUACGUAAGAGCACUCUAGCGAGACUGCCGUUGACAAAACGGAGGAAGGCGGGGACGACGUCAAAUCAUCAUGCCCCUUAUGUCCUGGGCUACACACGUAAUACAAUGGCCGUCAACAAAGGGAAGCAAUAUCGCAAAAUGGAGCAAAUCCCCAAAAACGGUCUCAGUUCGGAUUGCAGGCUGCAACUCGCCUGUAUGAAGCUGGAAUAAAUAGUAAUCGCGGAUCAGCAUGCCGCGGUGAAUA
This 1253-nucleotide ribosomal RNA is filed under the name uncultured bacterium. RNAcentral describes it as "bacterial SSU rRNA". It matches the Rfam family "Bacterial small subunit ribosomal RNA", at positions 94 to 1368 of the family's 1533-position model. The record is from RNAcentral.